CUCGACGCCAUUGUCGCUCGCCCUCAACCACCGCCGCUCGCCCUCGCCACCGCUAACCUCUAUGCUUUCCUCUUCUUGUGAGGGUCUUGGAAGCUCCAGAAGUGGUAUUGUUGAUCCAAUCAUGGCUGGUGAAGUGAAGAAAAACAAUUUGGGCAUUGGUGCUCAUAAUUCUGGAGAGGUGGCGCCAGAAGAUGAUAUAUACGAGCAAUUAUGGUCACUUUGUUAGAGUACAUUUCAUCCAUCAUGUGCUCGAACUACUGGAUUGUUCGUGAGUGUAAAAACAGUUUGUUUAUUAUUGCUUCUAAAAUGUUGUUUGCUGGUUGUGUUAUAUUCUCUUUGAUGAAUGAGAAGUUUGUGUAUUAUUGCUGCA
Molecule: long non-coding RNA, 370 nt
Organism: Eucalyptus grandis
Lineage: Eukaryota; Viridiplantae; Streptophyta; Magnoliopsida; Myrtales; Myrtaceae
Exons: 2
Source: RefSeq, a predicted model, not a curated record